UAAAAGUUUUAUUUUAGCUUAAAAUUUAUUUAAUUUAUAUUUUAUAUGUAAAUUUUUGUAUGAAUUUUUAUUAUUCUUAAUGAAUAAUUUAAUUAAAUUAUUCGCAGUAUUUAAUAUUAUAAAUAAAAGAAAUUUUGAUUCAGUAAUAAAUUUUAUUAUAGGAUAAAUUUGUGCCAGCAUCUGCGGUUAUACAAAUUAUAAAAAUAAAUUAUAUUAGUUUGUAGUUAAUUUGUUAUUAUAUUAAUUUAAAAAUUAAAUUUUUAGGUUAAAUUUUAAAUUUAUUAUUAUUUUAAUUUUAAUUUAAUAAAGCUAUAAAAUUUUUAAUUUAAACUAGGAUUAGAUACCCUAUUAUAUAAAAUAUAAAAAUUAAAAUUUAGGUAUUAAUAGUUAUGUUCUUUAAACUUAAAAAAUUUGGCGGUGUUUUAAUCUAUUUAGAGGAACCUGUUCCGUAAUUGAUAAUCCACGAUAAAUUUUACUAAAUUUUAUUAAAUUUGUAUACCGUCGUUAUCAGAUUAUCUUAUAAGAGUAUAAUAUUCAUAAAUUUAAAUUAAAUUUUAUUUCAGAUCAAGGUGCAGUUUAUAAUUUAGAGGAAAUGGGUUACAAUAUAAAAAUAUUUGGAUAAAUUUUUGAAAUAAUAUUUUAAAAUUGGAUUUAAUAGUAAUUUUAAUAAAAUUAUUAAAAUGAUUUUAGUUCUAAAACAUGUACAUAUCGCCCGUCGCUCUUUCUUUUAAAGAAAGAUAAGUCGUAACAAAGUAGAUGUACUGGAAAGUGUAUCUAGAAUGAU
RNAcentral lists this non-coding RNA (784 nucleotides) under Hemerobius spodipennis. The record is from RNAcentral. Lineage: Eukaryota; Metazoa; Arthropoda; Insecta; Neuroptera; Hemerobiidae.